UACGGAGGGGGCUAGCGUUGUUCGGAAUUACUGGGCGUAAAGCGCACGUAGGCGACUUUGUAAGUUAGAGGUGAAAGCCCGGGGCUCAACUCCGGAACUGCCUUUAAGACUGCAUCGCUUGAAUCCAGGAGAGGUGAGUGGAAUUCCGAGUGUAGAGGUGAAAUUCGUAGAUAUUCGGAAGAACACCAGUGGCGAAGGCGGCUCACUGGACUGGUAUUGACGCUGAGGUGCGAAAGCGUGGGGAGCAAACGGG
Molecule: ribosomal RNA, 253 nt
Filed under: uncultured bacterium
Lineage: Bacteria
Description: partial 16S ribosomal RNA
Rfam family: Bacterial small subunit ribosomal RNA
Source: RNAcentral